This 750-nucleotide ribosomal RNA is filed under the name uncultured bacterium. RNAcentral describes it as "bacterial SSU rRNA". It matches the Rfam family "Bacterial small subunit ribosomal RNA", at positions 43 to 783 of the family's 1533-position model. The record is from RNAcentral.
CAGGCCUAACACAUGCAAGUCGAGCGGACCAUUCCUUCGGGGAUGGUUAGCGGCGGACGGGUGAGUAACACGUAGGCAACCUGCCUGUAAGAUCGGGAUAACUACCGGAAACGGUAGCUAAGACCGGAUAGCUGGUUUCUCCGCAUGGAGGGAUCAUGAAACAUGGGGCAACCUGUGGCUUACGGAUGGGCCUGCGGCGCAUUAGCUAGUUGGUGGGGUAAUGGCCCACCAAGGCGACGAUGCGUAGCCGACCUGAGAGGGUGAUCGGCCACACUGGGACUGAGACACGGCCCAGACUCCUACGGGAGGCAGCAGUAGGGAAUCUUCCGCAAUGGGCGCAAGCCUGACGGAGCAACGCCGCGUGAGUGAUGAAGGUUUUCGGAUCGUAAAGCUCUGUUGCCAAGGAAGAACGCCUCGGAGAGUAACUGCUCUGAGGGUGACGGUACUUGAGAAGAAAGCCCCGGCUAACUACGUGCCAGCAGCCGCGGUAAUACGUAGGGGGCAAGCGUUGUCCGGAAUUAUUGGGCGUAAAGCGCGCGCAGGCGGUCUUUUAAGUUUGGUGUUUAAGCCCGGGGCUCAACCCCGGUUCGCACUGAAAACUGGGAGACUUGAGUGCAGGAGAGGAAAGCGGAAUUCCACGUGUAGCGGUGAAAUGCGUAGAGAUGUGGAGGAACACCAGUGGCGAAGGCGGCUUUCUGGACUGUAACUGACGCUGAGGCGCGAAAGCGUGGGGAGCAAACAGGAUUAGAU